RNAcentral lists this ribosomal RNA (460 nucleotides) under uncultured bacterium. RNAcentral describes it as "partial 16S ribosomal RNA". It matches the Rfam family "Bacterial small subunit ribosomal RNA", at positions 338 to 795 of the family's 1533-position model. The record is from RNAcentral.
CCUACGUGGUGCAGCAGUGAGGAAUAUUGGUCAAUGGACGAGAGUCUGAACCAGCCAAGUAGCGUGAAGGAUGACUGCCCUAUGGGUUGUCAACUUCUUUUAUAAAGGAAUAAAACGAGGCACGUGUGCCUUUUGGCAGCUACUUUAUGACUAAGGAUCGGCUAACUCCGUGCCAGCAGCCGCGGUAAUACGGAGGAUCCGAGCUUUAUCCGGAUUUGUUGUGUUUAAAGGGAGCGUAGAUGGGUUGUUAAGUCAGUUGUGAAAGUUUUCGGCUCAACCGUAAAAUUGCAAUUGAUACUGGCAGUCUUGAGUACAGUUGAGGUAGGCGGAAUGCGUGGUGUAGCGGUGAAAUGCUUAGAUAUCACGAAGAACCCCGAUUGCGAAGGCAGCUUACUAAACUGUGACUGACAUUGAUGCUCGAAAGUGUGGGUAUCAAACAGGAUUAGAUACCCUUGUAGGC